AAAUUCUAACCUACGGGUCUUAUCGACCCGGGAGACAGUGUCAGGUGGGCAGUUUGACUGGGGCGGUCGCCUCCUAAAGUGUAACGGAGGCGCCCAAAGGUUCCCUCAGAAUGGUUGGAAAUCAUUCGUAGAGUGCAAAGGCAUAAGGGAGCUUGACUGCGAGACCUACAAGUCGAGCAGGGACGAAAGUCGGGCUUAGUGAUCCGGUGGUUCCGCAUGGAAGGGCCAUCGCUCAACGGAUAAAAGCUACCCCGGGGAUAACAGGCUUAUCUCCCCCAAGAGUCCACAUCGACGAGGAGAGGUACCACCUCGAUG
RNAcentral lists this ribosomal RNA (315 nucleotides) under Klebsiella pneumoniae. RNAcentral's name for it is "partial 23S ribosomal RNA". It matches the Rfam family "Bacterial large subunit ribosomal RNA", at positions 2217 to 2531 of the family's 2925-position model. The record is from RNAcentral. Lineage: Bacteria; Pseudomonadati; Pseudomonadota; Gammaproteobacteria; Enterobacterales; Enterobacteriaceae.